GGUGAUUUUGGGUGCUUUAAGGUGAUUCUGGGUGAUUUUACGGUGAUUUUGGGUGAUUUCAAGGCGAUUUUGGGAUUUCCCCCCCAGCUACGGCGCCUACCCCGCCCCCCCCAGCCAGAGCUACUCGCAGGGUGGGGGGCAGGGCUACUCCCAGCAGAGCUACGGCGGCUACGGCCAGGGCUCGGACACGGGCUACGGCCAGGGCGGCUACAGCGGCUCCUACGGCCAGAGCCAGAGCGGUUAUUCGGCGCCGGCGGCUCCUCCCUCCUACGGCUCCGGCGGCUUCGGCUCCGCCCAGAGCUCCCAGGGCAGCUACGGCCAGAGUUCAUCAUACCCGGGGUAUUCCCAGCCCCCCGCGGCUCCGUCCGCCUCAGCCAGUUACGGCAGCGGCUCCGGCAGCUCCAGCUACGGCCAAGCCCCGAGCGGGGGCUACAACCAACAGAGCGGGGGCUACAGCCAGCAGAGCUACGGGCAACAGUCGUCCUACAACCCUCCCCCG
This 499-nucleotide long non-coding RNA is filed under the name Cyanistes caeruleus (blue tit). Its description in RNAcentral is "lncRNA (ENSCCEG00000005616.1)". Lineage: Eukaryota; Metazoa; Chordata; Aves; Passeriformes; Paridae. The record is from RNAcentral.